Pungitius pungitius (ninespine stickleback) is the source of this 1412-nucleotide long non-coding RNA. RefSeq lists it as uncharacterized. The transcript is spliced from 8 exons. The record is from RefSeq and is a predicted model, not a curated record. NCBI's taxonomy places the organism in Eukaryota, Metazoa, Chordata, Actinopteri, Perciformes, Gasterosteidae.
AGUAAUGAGGCAACAUUUGUACAGCUAUUCGGCGUCCCCCUCAACAUCCUCUUCCUCAUCCUCAUCAUCAAGAACAACAAGUUCAUUAUUAAGCAGCUCCUCCUCGUCGUUCUCCUCAUCCUGGGCUACUUGCAUGCGGUUCUCCUCCCCCCGCUGCCGGAGCGCCAGCGCAUCCCUACCAGCGGCGCAUGGCUGUCCCGCUUUGAAACAAUAACAAAUUCGCCUAGUAGGCCUACGUGGUAAAAUGUCUUUUUUUUAUUGCCAACAGUCCAUGAAAUUAGCCAAUAACAUUAAACAUAAGGAGAACAUGUAUUUAUGAAAUAUUACUUUGACUUUUUUUUCUUUUUUUACCCCCGGCCUUUAUUUGUCCGUAUCGACCACGCCCCCGGCUACUAUCUGAAGACUGGCCUCUAAUUGAAUCCCGUUCUUUAUUUGAGGAUUUACGGUAUAUGCUUUUCCCAGGACUCUCUUUGCCUAUAGUAAGAAGGUCCCACAAAUGGAAGACGGGCUCCAGAAUACAUACGUGAUCAAACCUGGAUACUGAGUUUGGACCAUUGCUCAGUGGCGAGACCAGAGACAGAUACAAAGAAAGGAGACGUCCAGUCAACACAGAGCGACUAGUGAUUCAUAACAUUUCAGGCCUGGAGGCUGAGGUCCAGUUCUAUUUCCAGCAUGAUAGCCAGGCCACCACGUACCUGCUGGACCCGCCGACUAUGACCCUCAAACCCGACCAGAAACAGGAGUUGACAGUGUGGGCGUACCCAACAAAACUGGGACAAAUGACGGACAGCAUUGUGUGCCAUGUCAAGGACAAUCCAGAACUUGUCAACGUCAAACUUUCCCGCCGGGGCGUUCGGCCGGAGCUGGAGCUGGAAAGAAACCAUUGUCACUUUCAAAGGACAUUGCUGAAUAGGCGGGAGAGCAGCAGAAUGACGCCGCAUAACAAGACUGCUCUGCCGGUGUCUUGGAGACUGCGGGGCGUGGAGGAUUUAGGUGAUGAGUGUGCCACAGGAUCAGGGCAUUGUUUUACCCAACUCCUCUUACCAACUGAGCUUACACUUCAGGGCCAAGAGGCCACUCCACGUUAAGAAGAUCUUAUAUCUGGAGGUAUCUGAUGUGGGGAUGAUUCUAGGCAUCGUGCAAAAAGAAAAAAUACAGGUCACAGCUGAAGCCUAUGUCAUUGAUUUGGAGAUCACACCAAAUGGCUGUGUGAACUUUGGAACCAUUAAAGUUUUGAAGAGGCCAAACUGUCUCUCAGGAUGAAGAACCUAGGGAAGUAUGAAAUAGCCUAUAAGUGAUUGAACCCAGCAUUGGGAAUGGUGGAGAACUCAUAGCCACUAUAGCAAUUGAGGUUUCAGUCAAGUCGGUCUUCUCCAGGUACAAGAUCAUACUUGCAUGUGACCUCAACUUUG